This 445-nucleotide ribosomal RNA is filed under the name uncultured bacterium. RNAcentral describes it as "bacterial SSU rRNA". It matches the Rfam family "Bacterial small subunit ribosomal RNA", at positions 354 to 796 of the family's 1533-position model. The record is from RNAcentral.
GUGAGGAAUAUUGGUCAAUGGGCGCAAGCCUGAACCAGCCAUGCCGCGUGCAGGAAGACGGUCCUAUGGAUUGUAAACUGCUUUUAUUUGGGAAUAAACUCCGGUACGUGUACCGGCCUGAAGGUACCAAAUGAAUAAGCACCGGCUAACUCCGUGCCAGCAGCCGCGGUAAUACGGAUGGUGCAAGCGUUAUCCGGAAUCAUUGGGUUUAAAGGGUCCGCAGGCGGUCUUAUAAGUCAGUGGUGAAAGCCUACAGCUCAACUGUAGAACUGCCAUUGAUACUGUAGGACUUGAAUUCGAUCGAAGUGGGCGGAAUGUGACAUGUAGCGGUGAAAUGCUUAGAUAUGUCACAGAACACCGAUAGCGAAGGCAGCUCACUAGGUCUGGAUUGACGCUCAGGGACGAAAGCGUGGGGAGCAAACAGGAUUAGAUACCCGGGUAGUCC